AGUGAACGCUGGCGGUAGGCCUAACACAUGCAAGUCGAACGGCAGCACAGUAAGAGCUUGCUCUUACGGGUGGCGAGUGGCGGACGGGUGAGGAAUACAUCGGAAUCUACUUUUUCGUGGGGGAUAACGUAGGGAAACUUACGCUAAUACCGCAUACGACCUACGGGUGAAAGCAGGGGAUCUUCGGACCUUGCGCGAUUGAAUGAGCCGAUGUCGGAUUAGUUAGUUGGCGGGGUAAAGGCCCACCAAGGCGACGAUCCGUAGCUGGUCUGAGAGGAUGAUCAGCCACACUGGAACUGAGACACGGUCCAGACUCCUACGGGAGGCAGCAGUGGGGAAUAUUGGACAAUGGGCGCAAGCCUGAUCCAGCCAUACCGCGUGGGUGAAGAAGGCCUUCAGGUUGUAAAGCCCUUUUGUUGGGAAAGAAAAGCAGCAGGUUAAUACCCCGCUGUUCUGACGGUACCCAAAGAAUAAGCACCGGCUAACUUCGUG
RNAcentral lists this ribosomal RNA (492 nucleotides) under uncultured bacterium. RNAcentral describes it as "partial 16S ribosomal RNA". It matches the Rfam family "Bacterial small subunit ribosomal RNA", at positions 29 to 507 of the family's 1533-position model. The record is from RNAcentral.